Molecule: ribosomal RNA, 492 nt
Filed under: uncultured bacterium
Lineage: Bacteria
Description: bacterial SSU rRNA
Rfam family: Bacterial small subunit ribosomal RNA
Source: RNAcentral
GACGAACGCUGGCGGCGUGCCUAAUACAUGCAAGUCGAACGCACUCUCGUUUAGAUUGAAGGAGCUUGCUCCUGAUUGAUAAACAUUUGAGUGAGUGGCGGACGGGUGAGUAACACGUGGGUAACCUGCCCUAAAGUGGGGGAUAACAUUUGGAAACAGAUGCUAAUACCGCAUAAAACCUAAACACCGCAUGGUGUAGGGUUGAAAGAUGGUUUCGGCUAUCACUUUAGGAUGGACCCGCGGUGCAUUAGUUAGUUGGUGAGGUAAAGGCUCACCAAGACCGUGAUGCAUAGCCGACCUGAGAGGGUAAUCGGCCACACUGGGACUGAGACACGGCCCAGACUCCUACGGGAGGCAGCAGUAGGGAAUCUUCCACAAUGGACGAAAGUCUGAUGGAGCAACGCCGCGUGAGUGAAGAAGGUUUUCGGAUCGUAAAACUACUGUUGUUGGUAGAGAAUGUAUCUGAUAGUAACUGAUCAGGUAGUGACGGUA